Molecule: long non-coding RNA, 1702 nt
Organism: Clupea harengus (Atlantic herring)
Lineage: Eukaryota; Metazoa; Chordata; Actinopteri; Clupeiformes; Clupeidae
Source: Ensembl
GGGAUGGUGCUGAAGUGGACGCCGUGUGAACUUCACCAGCAAUGGCUCCAAUCUGACAUUAACGCAGUCCUAUCUAAAAUGGCAGUUGGAGAUAUACCUGAGAGAAAGAUGGAGGUGGAAGACAUGAAGGAAGAGACACUCUGGAAAGAUGGAGGGGGAGGACAGGGCUUCUAUUAAGGAGAAGGAGACCGCUGGAAAUAUGGGGCAGGAGGACAGCGCCUCUGUCCAGGAGGCCUGUAGAAAGAUGGACAACGAGGACAGGGCCUCUGAGCUCAAAGACUAUUUCACUGCUCUUGAGGAGAACCGCAGAAACAUGCAGAAUCUCCUGCAAGAGCAGAAAGAAGAGUAUGAGAUGGAGUUGAGGGCUCUGGAGAGGGAGAGUGUGCAGGAGAGAGAGAUGCGGAAUAGAAAUGAGGCCCUGAAGAGGGAGAGAGAGAUGCGGAAUAGAAAGGAGGCUCUGGAGAGGGAGAGAGAUGCGGGAAAGAGAGGAAGCCCUGCUGUCCACUUUUAUUUCCGUUGUUGUCUGCAAGGACAAGCUCAUGAAAGACCUGAGGAUCCAGAUGGACAGACCGAGUCCAUCUAAGGUGUGCGAGGCACAAUGGGGCCAUUUUCAAACACAUGGGGCCACUGGCACUGCAGUGGUCACACUCCAGGAUAAUUCUAUACCUCAACAAGUUGCGGAGAGUGACCUGCAGGGGAACAAUACUGAACUGAAGAAAAAGGAGAAAAGGGCAUACCGUUUGCAGCGUCAUUUUCUUGCAUUCUACUUCGGAAAGCGGCACGAUUAUUUUUAUUUCUGGCUUGAUUUUUUUUUUUUACACGUUUUCACUCUUACAUUUGAUCUUACAACUAGCUUCUCAUCCAAAUGUAAGUACCGAUACUUCGACACACCGUUUGCAGCAUCUUAAUUUUUCAAAAGCGGAAAAAAGCGGCUAGCCAUAACUAGAGCCAUAACUAGAACUAACCAAUCCACCAGGCCUAUACAAUGUGGAUAGAACCAGAUGUGGAACAUAUCAUUUAAAAGUGAACAUAUUGAAAAACAGCAUUUUCCUUGCUAACAGGGCCUCUGUUAGAGUGGAGGAGAUCUGUCGAAAGAUGGAAAAGGAGGACGGGCCCACUGAGCUGAAGGAGCUUUUAGAUUAUUUCACUGCUCUUGAGGAGGACCGCAGGAACCUGCAGAAUCUCCUGCAAGAGAAAAAUGAAGAAAAUGAAAUGAAGUUGAGGGCUAAGGAGAGGGAGAUGGUGCAUGAGAGGGUAGAGUUGGAGAGUGAGAUGCGGGACAGAGGAGGCCCUGCUGUGCACUUUUAUUUCCGUUGUUGUCUGAAAGGACAAGGUCAUGAAAGACCUGAGGAUCCAGAUGGACAGACCGGUAAGACAGGCUUUUUGUGUUUCUGGGCACCAGAUAUUGCCUGUUGCCUUGAGGAGGCAUUUCUAACUGUAUAAAAUAUACAAAUAACUUGAUAUGUGGACAUGUGUUAUAUUUUUUCAGAGUCCAUCUAGGGUGUGCGAGGCACAAUGGGGCCAUUUUCAAACACAUGGGGCCACUGGCACUGCAGUGGUCACACUCCAGGACAAUUCUGAAAGCACUAUGAGUGACCUGCAGGAGGACCGGGUGAAAAUCACUGAAGUAAAGAAACAGGAGAAAGCCCUUCAACAGGCAGAGAAGAAAGAACAGAAGGCAGAGAAGAAAAGAGGAUUUUUC